GAGUUUGAUCAUGGCUCAGGAUGAACGCUGGCGGCGUGCCUAAUACAUGCAAGUCGAGCGAACAGACGAGGAGCUUGCUCCUCUGACGUUAGCGGCGGACGGGUGAGUAACACGUGGAUAACCUACCUAUAAGACUGGGAUAACUUCGGGAAACCGGAGCUAAUACCGAAUAAUAUAUUGAACCGCAUGGUUCAAUAGUGAAAAACGGUUUUGCUGUCACUUAUAGAUGGAUCCGCGCCGCAUUAGCUAGUUGGUAGGGUAACGGCUUACCAAGGCGACGAUGCGUAGCCGACCUGAGAGGGUGAUCGGCCACACUGGAACUGAGACACGGUCCAGACUCCUACGGGAGGCAGCAGUAGGGAAUCUUCCGCAAUGGGCGAAAGCCUGACGGAGCAACACCGCGUGAGUGAUGAAGGUCUUCGGAUCGUAAAAACUCUGUUAUUAGGGAAGAACGAAAUGUGUAAGUAACUAUGCACGUCUUGACGGUACCUAAUCAGAAAGCCACGGCUAACUACGUGCCAG
Molecule: ribosomal RNA, 522 nt
Filed under: uncultured microorganism
Description: bacterial SSU rRNA
Rfam family: Bacterial small subunit ribosomal RNA
Source: RNAcentral